This 240-nucleotide unclassified non-coding RNA is filed under the name soil metagenome. RNAcentral describes it as "partial contains 5.8S ribosomal RNA, internal transcribed spacer 2, and large subunit ribosomal RNA". The record is from RNAcentral.
AACGCACGAGACCUGCGGACCUGCGGAGGGAUCAUUAAUGAGAAACUGCCCCUCGCGGGUAGAUCUCCCACCCUUUGUAAACUUACCUUUGUUGCUUUGGCAGGCCCGUCUCCGGACCGCCGGCUUCGGCUGGCCAGUGCCUGCCAGAGGAUUCUAAAACUCUGUCUGUCAGUGUUGUCUGAGUCUAUAUACAAUCGUUAGAACUUUCAACAAUGGAUCUCUAGAUCGGAAGAGCACACG